AUUUAUAUAGUUUAAAUAAAACAUUACAUUUUCAAUGUAAAAAUAAAAUUAUUAUUUUUAUAAAUA
This 66-nucleotide transfer RNA is filed under the name Liopterus haemorrhoidalis. Its description in RNAcentral is "tRNA-Glu". Lineage: Eukaryota; Metazoa; Arthropoda; Insecta; Coleoptera; Dytiscidae. The record is from RNAcentral.